UACUCCAUUGAAUAUAUUUCGUUUUUGAUAAAGAUAGUAAUCGCCUAAAAGUUAAAAUUCAUCGUCGUAAUUCUCUCUGUUUAUAUCCCUGAUGAUGGGAGCUUGUACUGUAGUCUGUUCAGUGCCAUAUAUUUAAAGUUUUUAAGGAAAAAAACGAAAAAUCAUGUUGUGAAUGUUGCAAAUAUUUUGCAUAGGCCUUACGAAGAACAUUUUGAACUAUGUUUUGCAAUUUGAGCAACUUUUACUGACUCAGAGAUUUGCAUUCAGUCAAUACAAUAAUUAUGAUUUUAAAAACUUGCCAUGCAUCCUCCCAAAUAAUUGAAAUUGAUAGAAUCAACAUAUUAAUUCCCUGGUCCUAACAUCUACCUAAUAACAAAUACUAAUAUUGUGAUGCAUGCUGAGAUAUUACCAACGUGCGAAAGCAAAGGGGCUUUAUAACCUUCAACAUGUUUAUCCUGCAACGAUUAUAUAAUCAUUUUACUUACAGUUUACAUAUUAGCGGAAAAAACCGUAAAAUCGAAAAGCACAA
Molecule: long non-coding RNA, 529 nt
Organism: Cimex lectularius (bed bug)
Lineage: Eukaryota; Metazoa; Arthropoda; Insecta; Hemiptera; Cimicidae
Exons: 3
Source: RefSeq, a predicted model, not a curated record